GGGGGCGACACGGCUUCGACGGGGGUGAAGACUCGCGGGAUGCAUGCCGAGCUCCAUUGACUCGUAAAUCCGAUGGAACAUCCGUUAACUGCGGAUACUCAGUACGCUCUCGCAGCUUAAUAAGCUGUGAGCGUCUGCCCCAACCUCGCCUGGUGGUUGGGGG
RNAcentral lists this transfer-messenger RNA (163 nucleotides) under Acidobacteriota bacterium. Its description in RNAcentral is "Acidobacteria bacterium partial transfer-messenger RNA". It matches the Rfam family "transfer-messenger RNA", at positions 1 to 179 of the family's 374-position model. From Rfam's summary of the family: Bacterial tmRNA, also known as 10Sa RNA or SsrA, is named for its dual tRNA and mRNA-like properties. Lineage: Bacteria; Pseudomonadati; Acidobacteriota. The record is from RNAcentral.